CCCUUAGAUGUCCGGGGCCGCACGCGCGCUACACUGAAGGAAUCAGCGUGGCUUUCUCCCUGACCCGAAAGGGUUGGGAAACCCGUUGAAUCUCCUUCGUGAUAGGGAUUGGGGCUUGAAAUUGUUCCCCAUGAACGAGGAAUUCCCAGUAAGCGCGAGUCAUAAGCUUGCGUCGAUUACGUCCCUGCCCUUUGUACACACCGCCCGUCGCUCCUACCGAUUGGGUGUGCUGGUGAAAUGUUCGGAUCGGCCGUUUGUCGCGGUUUCCGCGUCAUGUGGCUGAGAAGUUCAUUAAACCCUCCCACCUAGAGGAAGGAGAAGUCGUAACA
Molecule: ribosomal RNA, 329 nt
Filed under: uncultured eukaryote
Lineage: Eukaryota
Description: partial 18S ribosomal RNA
Rfam family: Eukaryotic small subunit ribosomal RNA
Source: RNAcentral